Molecule: small RNA, 380 nt
Filed under: Spisula solidissima (Atlantic surf clam)
Lineage: Eukaryota; Metazoa; Mollusca; Bivalvia; Venerida; Mactridae
Description: cnRNA149
Source: RNAcentral
GGAAGUGAUAAAGAACAAAUGCCCAUCGGGUUCCUGAGCAAUGAAAUAACACAAGACACCAACACAUUUUUGGGUGCGGAAGUGAUAAAGAACAAAUGCCCAUCGGGUUCCUGAGCAAUGAAAUAACACAAGACACCAACACAUUUUUGAAUUCGGAAGUGGUAAAGGACAAAUGCCCAUCGGGUUCCUGAUCAAUGAAAUAACACAAGUCACCAACACAUUUUUGAAUUCGGAAGUGAUAAAGGACAAAUGCCCAUCGGGUUCCUGAUCAAUGAAAUAACGCAAGACACCAACACAUUUUUAUAAUUCGGAAGUGGUAAAGGACAAAUGUCCAUCGGGUUCCUGAUCAAUGAAAUGACACAAGACACCAACACAUUUUU